This 253-nucleotide unclassified non-coding RNA is filed under the name uncultured Parcubacteria group bacterium. RNAcentral's name for it is "contains 16S-23S intergenic spacer region". It matches the Rfam family "Bacterial small subunit ribosomal RNA", at positions 524 to 776 of the family's 1533-position model. The record is from RNAcentral.
UACGAGUGCCCCAAGCGUUAUCCGGAAUUACUGGGCGUAAAGGGUGUGUAGGUGGUCAUGUUAGUUUUCUGUUAAAUUCUUCGGCUUAACCGGGGGCUUGCGGGGAAUACGGCAUGACUCGAGGGUGCGAGAGGCAUAUGGAACUCUAGGUGUAGGGGUGAAAUCCGUUGAUAUCUAGGGGAACACCAAAAGCGAAGGCAAUAUGCUGGCGCAUUUCUGACACUGAAACACGAAAGCGUGGGUAGCGAAUGGG